This 51-nucleotide transfer RNA is filed under the name Perca fluviatilis (European perch). Its description in RNAcentral is "partial tRNA-Pro". Lineage: Eukaryota; Metazoa; Chordata; Actinopteri; Perciformes; Percidae. The record is from RNAcentral.
ACUCCCACCCCUAACUCCCAAAGCUAGGAUUCUAAACUAAACAAUUCUUUG